RNAcentral lists this ribosomal RNA (256 nucleotides) under uncultured bacterium. RNAcentral's name for it is "partial 16S ribosomal RNA". It matches the Rfam family "Bacterial small subunit ribosomal RNA", at positions 524 to 776 of the family's 1533-position model. The record is from RNAcentral.
UACAGGGGGUGCAAACGUUGCUCGGAAUCAUUGGGCGUAAAGCGCACGUAGGCGGUUCGUUAUGUCGGAUGUGAAAGCCCUUGGCUUAACCGAGGAAGUGCAUCCGAAACUGGCGAGCUAGAGUACUAAAGAGGAUCGCGGAAUUCCCGGUGUAGAGGUGAAAUUCGUAGAUAUCGGGGAGGAACACCGGUGGCGAAGGCGGCGAUCUGGGAAGAUACUGACGCUGAGGUGGCGAAAAGCGUGGGGAGCAAACAGG